UACGUAGGGUCCAAGCGUUAUCCGGAAUUACUGGGCGUAAAGCGUACGUAGGCGGCGCGUUAAGUGAGAUGCGAAAUCCUGUGGCUCAACCAUAUGGACUGUAUCUCAUACUGGCGUGCUGGAGGUCGGCAGAGGCAAGUGGAAUUACCGGUGUAGCAGUGAAAUGCGUAGAUAUCGGUAGGAACACCAAUGGCGAAGGCAGCUUGCUGGGCCGCACCUGACGCUGAGGUACGAAAGCGUGGGGAGCGAACAGG
RNAcentral lists this ribosomal RNA (254 nucleotides) under uncultured bacterium. Its description in RNAcentral is "partial 16S ribosomal RNA". It matches the Rfam family "Bacterial small subunit ribosomal RNA", at positions 524 to 776 of the family's 1533-position model. The record is from RNAcentral.